Molecule: long non-coding RNA, 569 nt
Filed under: Homo sapiens (human)
Lineage: Eukaryota; Metazoa; Chordata; Mammalia; Primates; Hominidae
Source: RNAcentral
CCUGAAGAGAGGCCUAGUUUAAAUCACAAUUCCGAAUCUGGGGCAAUGGAAUCACUGUUUCCAGCUGGGGCAGGUGAGAUCUUUCCACCUUCUAUAAUAUGCCAUCCCUACUAAUAGGAUAUUGACUUGGAUAGCUUGAUGUCUCAUGACGAGCGGCGCUCUGCAUCCCUCACCCAUGCCUCCUAACUCAGUGAUCAAAGCGAAUAUUCCAUCUGUGGACAGAACCCCUGGCAGUGUUGUCAGCUCAAGCUGGUGGGUUCAGUUCUGUCCUGAGGCUUCUGCUCUCAUUCACUUAGUGCUACGCUGCACAGUUCUACACUGUCAAGGGAAAAGGGAGACUAAUGAGGCUUAACUCAAAACCUGGGCAUGGUUUUGGUUGCCAUUCCAUAGGUUUGGAGAGCUCUAGAUCUCUUUUGUGCUGGGUUCAGUGGCUCUUCAGGGGACAGGAAAUGCCUGUGUCUGGCCAGUGUGGUUCUGGAGCUUUGGGGUAACAGCAGGAUCCAUCAGUUAGUAGGGUGCAUGUCAGACGAUCAUACCCAAUUCAUAUGGAAGUCCCGGGUCUGUCUUCC